AUAGCAGAGCCUCCCUUUCUGUCCACUCUGCUUCCAGUUUCCAAGAUAUGAGGAGGUGAGGCAUCUCAGCUGCAAACUCCUGCUGCCAUGAAGCUCUUGCCUCCAUAGCUUCUCUUCAUGAUGGACAGCAUCACCUCAACAUUGCUAUCUGGAUGGAAGCUGGGAAGAGGGCUCAGCUAUUAAGGAACUCACUGUGUAAGCACGAAGACUGGUGUUUGGAUGUCCAGAAAACAAAAUGCCUGGUGGGCAGGACUGCCUACUUAUAAUCCUAGCCUGGGAAGACUGACUUCUGUGACCAACCACAUCUUUGUUUGGUUUAGAGGCCCUGCUUCAGUGAACAAAGUGAGAGAGCAACUGAAGACAAUUCCCAACGGAAGCAUGGGUAUGUACACUAUGUACAUGCCAGUACCCACAGAUGCCAAAAAGAGGUCAGAGCCCUUGGAACUGGAGUUAAGGACAGUUGUGAGCCAUCUUGUUGGUCUUCUACAAAAACAUCUGGUCCUCCUGCGCCCACAUCAGAAGAACCGUGUGAAACCACCCAGCAGAGUCAGGCAAGUGGAAUGAAAACAAAUGACAAAUCAUGGCUCUGGAACGAAGGAGGGGAACAACUGGAGAGACU
Peromyscus maniculatus bairdii (prairie deer mouse) is the source of this 619-nucleotide non-coding RNA. The record is from RefSeq and is a predicted model, not a curated record. Lineage: Eukaryota; Metazoa; Chordata; Mammalia; Rodentia; Cricetidae.